This is a long non-coding RNA of Ochotona princeps (American pika), 583 nucleotides long. RefSeq lists it as uncharacterized. The transcript is spliced from 4 exons. NCBI's taxonomy places the organism in Eukaryota, Metazoa, Chordata, Mammalia, Lagomorpha, Ochotonidae. The record is from RefSeq and is a predicted model, not a curated record.
AAGAUCUUCCAACCACUGGUUCACUCCCCAAGUGGCCACAACAGCCAGAGCUGAGCUGAUCCAAGGUCAGGAGCGAAGAGCCUCUUCCGGGUUUCCCAUGUGUGUGGGGGAUACGAAGGCUUUGGGUCAUCCUCAACUGCUUUCCCAGGCCAUAAACAGGAAGCUGGAAAGGAAAUGGAGCAGUGGGACAUGAACUGGCAUCCAUAUGUGAUCCCAGUGGAAGCAAGAACUGUGCAGGUAGGUCAAUCCACAGUGUGUGGGCACAUGCCUUUGCAAGGGAAGAAUAAAGGUCAAAUUUACCAACAAAAUCAGUGCCUGCAGAAACAUUAAUAUCUUGUGGCAAAGUAAGUUUCCUGUGAGCCAAGUUUAAUUGGGCUCCCCCCCCUUUUUUUUUAAAAUACAGUUGACCAUUCAAUGGGUUUCAGUUUAAUGCAUUCCAGUGUACAUUUCAGAUGCCAAGGUCUGUGAGAGAAAGUACCUUUUCCAACUUGUUCAUGAUGAUAUCUGUCUGUCUCAUGGUAGAUAUCCGUUUGCUUUUUGCUAAAACAACAAAAGUGUAACAUCCUGAGAACAUGAUUUUUCC